GUGGGGAAUCUUGGACAAUGGGGGAAACCCUGAUCCAGCCAUGCCGCGUGAGUGAUGAAGGCCCUAGGGUUGUAAAACUCUUUCGGCGGGGACGAUAAUGACGGUACCCGCAGAAGAAGCUCCGGCUAACUUCGUGCCAGCAGCCGCGGUAAUACGAAGGGGGCUAGCGUUGUUCGGAAUUACUGGGCGUAAAGCGCGCGCAGGCGGUUUUCCAAGUCAGUGGUGAAAGCCCAGAGCUCAACUCUGGAACUGCCAUUGAAACUAGAAAACUAGGGUACGGGAGAGGUGAGUGGAAUUCCGAGUGUAGAGGUGAAAUUCGUAGAUAUUCGGAAGAACACCAGUGGCGAAGGCGGCUCACUGGCCCGUUACCGACGCUCAGGCGCGACAGCGUGGGGAGCAAACAGG
RNAcentral lists this ribosomal RNA (405 nucleotides) under uncultured bacterium. RNAcentral's name for it is "bacterial SSU rRNA". It matches the Rfam family "Bacterial small subunit ribosomal RNA", at positions 354 to 776 of the family's 1533-position model. The record is from RNAcentral.